Long non-coding RNA from Mya arenaria, 1615 nucleotides. RefSeq lists it as uncharacterized. The record is from RefSeq and is a predicted model, not a curated record. Lineage: Eukaryota; Metazoa; Mollusca; Bivalvia; Myida; Myidae. The transcript has 3 exons.
UUAAAGUUUACCGUUCUGUUUAAAUAUACUAGAUAUAAAUUCUAAUUUGCAAACAUAUGGAUUCAUUUUAGUGAAAAUUGGUUUUAACAUGGAAUUAUUAAUGUACGCUUGGAGUGUAUUUUACUGCAUAAACGCAGUAACCUCAGCAGAUAUUGUAUCAUUUGAAGCAAACACGACGUUUGUAGGAGAUGGCAGCGCAGCACUUCUGAGGUGUAUAUCUCACGAACAGACAUGGGGUGUAAAUUUCAUUAAGGACAAUAUCACCUUUGGAUCAUGAACUAUUUUUGAAUGCCAAGUUAUUAGUACUGCAGAUUUCAUUACAUCACAGAACACUCGUAGCGAUGGUUUCAACGAACACUUUCUGACCAUAAAACAUUUCUCAAACACAUUGGCUUGAACCUACACCUGUAAAUCGUCAGAAACUAGCGAUUCUAAAAUGGUUAAUCUAACAUUUGCAGAGGAUGAAUUGAAGCAGUUAAGGUCAGACUUGAAAAAAGUCAAACAGAAAGGCUUAUGCUGAAGGUUCAAGGAAAGAUUUAAAAAUUCAGUUUGAAUCUUUUUUGUUGUUUUGUACAUUAUUUUGUUUUUAUAUAUUUGCCAGUCUCAACAGAAACAUUACAGCUGUAUGCUCAGUUUUUGUGGUGUUAAAUAAAUGCAUCUCUUGCUAGGUUUCGAGGUUAAUCGCAUUAAUAUGUAUUUGUUCAAUUUAUCAUUAAAAGGAUUAACAAGGGACAAAUUACAAGUUAAAAAUGCUGAACCAAUAUCACCGGCAAUUCUCGUUAAGAUUUUUGAACUUUUAAAUAUGGGAGAUAUAUAUGAUAUGGUAUUUUGGUGUUAAUGUGUGUUUGCCUUUUUUCUGUUAGCACUAAAAUCAAAUUUGGUUCCUACAAGUAGAAAGGAUUUGAAAGAUCCAAAAAUUUUGUUAUCAAGGGAUGUAGUGAUCACCGAGUAUGGUUUACUUGUACAUUUUAAAUGGUCAAAGACAAUACAAUAUGGUCAAAGGGUCCUAGUUAUUCCCCUAAUUGCUAUUCCAAAUUCAUGUUUAUGUCCUGUUAGAGCUUAUAAGAACAUGAUAGGGAAUAUUGAUAGAAAACCAGGGAAUCUUUUGUUUUUAUUUGCUUCUGGGAAGCCCUUGUUCAAAUCAUUUGGAAGGAAAGAUUAGCGAAUACAUGUCGCUUUUAUUUUUAAUAAUGUUUUCCUUAUUUGUUCCCAGUUUUAGUACAAUGAUGCUUUUUAUUAUGAAACUCUAUGAUCACACAGUUUUAAACCUUUAAUUUUAUAAGGCAGACUGUGUGGGAUGUUUAUAGUUUCUAAUAAUGACUGCAUCGUAUCUUUGAAAAGUUUUUGCCUUAGGUUCUCUGAAUUGUAUCCCUCCGUCUGCAGAUAGAGUUGGGAUCUCUAAUCAUAGAAGUACUUGGGGUUUACCUAUACGUUUAGUAUUAUUUGUUUUAUUGAUAAGUUUCCUCAAGUUAAUGCAUACUUUGAUAAUAUUUACCUUUUGCGUUUUAUCUUUGUUAAGGAUUGUUGGGAUAAGAGUGAGGUUUGUGCACAUAAACUGGUUUAAACCCCCAAUAAAUUUACAUUUUACUGACCGUUCCAAGGCGGUACCUAACAA